RNAcentral lists this ribosomal RNA (545 nucleotides) under uncultured bacterium. Its description in RNAcentral is "bacterial SSU rRNA". It matches the Rfam family "Bacterial small subunit ribosomal RNA", at positions 774 to 1319 of the family's 1533-position model. The record is from RNAcentral.
AGUGAAUAGAUACCCGGGUAGUCCACGCCCUAAACGAUGUCUACUAGUUGUCGGGGAUUCAUUUCCUUGGUAAACGCAGCUAAACGCGUGAAGUAGACCGCCUGGGGAGUACGGCCGCAAGGUUAAAACUCAAAGGAAUUGACGGGGACCCGCACAAGCGGUGGAUGAUGUGGAUUAAUUCGAUGCAACGCGAAAAACCUUACCUACGCUUGACAUGCCAGGAACUUUCCAGAGAUGGAUUGGUGCCCGAAAGGGAACCUGGACACAGGUGCUGCAUGGCUGUCGUCAGCUCGUGUCGUGAGAUGUUGGGUUAAGUCCCGCAACGAGCGCAACCCUUAUCCUUAGUUGCUACGCAAGGGCACUCUAGGGAGACUGCCGGUGACAAACCGGAGGAAGGUGGGGAUGACGUCAAGUCCUCAUGGCCCUUAUGUGUAGGGCUUCACACGUCAUACAAUGGUCGGUACAGAGGGUCGCCAACCCGCGAGGGGGUAGCCAAUCCCAGAAAACCCGAUCGUAGUCCGGAUUGCAGUCUGCAACUCGACUGC